This 745-nucleotide long non-coding RNA is filed under the name Neodiprion pinetum (white pine sawfly). RNAcentral describes it as "uncharacterized LOC124220072". Lineage: Eukaryota; Metazoa; Arthropoda; Insecta; Hymenoptera; Diprionidae. The record is from RNAcentral.
AACUAUAAUACACAAUAACAGAUUCAAAUUUCACAGCAUGUAGUCACGGUUACUAUCAUUUAACCAAUACUCGAACGCUGAGCUGUGGGACAGUCUCCGAGAAGUCGAACUUAGGAAUGUAGUGCGGUCUCUGGACUUCGAGGUAGCUGGAGGUGGAGCAAAUUUCAGCAUUAGACAGUGCCAAUUGAUAUGCUUGGCUAGAGCUAUACUAAAAAAAAAUCGAUUGCUCGUACUUGACGAAGCUACCGCAAAUGUUGACAAUGGAUACCAUGAGGUGGAAAUUCGCCGACUGUACGGUUUUGAUAAUAGCACAUUGAUUGAAAACGAUAAUGGACAGUGACCGAUUAUUUGUCAUGGAAGCCGGUCGCAUCUUGGAUUUUGGACAUCCCUAUUUGCUGUUGCAAAAUCGAGACGGCCACUUUUCGCUAAUGUUUCAAAAAACCGGAAAGGUGAUGAGGAAAGAACUUUCGAAGGUUGCUGAGAAAGCGAAACGGCUCGAUGUUGAAUCCAGGAAAAUAUCGAACGUCGGCACCAUCUCUAAUAUCAGAUAGACCAGACAUUCAUCGUGAAAAUAGUUCCAGAACUGACUGAGUCUUACUUCGAAUAGUCAGAUCCUCAAAGGCACUGAUGAAAAGCAAUUUCGUCGAACCCUUGUCAUCGAUCAUUAGGUACAACAAGAUACUUGCGUCUAACGCAGCUGCAGUUUACAGUCAAAUAUGUAAUUAAACGUUUAUAAAGCAUAAGU